RNAcentral lists this transfer RNA (71 nucleotides) under Helorus sp. ZJUH_2016017. RNAcentral's name for it is "tRNA-Trp". The record is from RNAcentral. Lineage: Eukaryota; Metazoa; Arthropoda; Insecta; Hymenoptera; Heloridae.
AAAACUUUAAGUUUAUAAUUUUAAACUAAAAGAAUUCAAAUCUUUAAAAAUAAUAAUUUUUAUAAGUUUUA